RNAcentral lists this ribosomal RNA (460 nucleotides) under uncultured bacterium. RNAcentral's name for it is "partial 16S ribosomal RNA". It matches the Rfam family "Bacterial small subunit ribosomal RNA", at positions 338 to 795 of the family's 1533-position model. The record is from RNAcentral.
CCUACGGGUGGCAGCAGUGAGGAAUAUUGGUCAAUGGACGAGAGUCUGAACCAGCCAAGUAGCGUGAAGGAUGACUGCCCUAUGGGUUGUAAACUUCUUUUAUAUGGGAAUAAAAUGUUCCACGUGUGGGAUUUUGUAUGUACCAUAUGAAUAAGGAUCGGCUAACUCCGUGCCAGCAGCCGCGGUAAUACGGAGGAUCCGAGCGUUAUCCGGAUUUAUUGGGUUUAAGGGGAGCGUAGGUGGAUUGUUAAGUCAGUUGUGAAAGUUUGCGGCUCAACCGUAAAAUUGCAGUUGAAACUGGCAGUCUUGAGUACAGUAGAGGUGGACGGAAUUCGUGGUGUAGCGGUGAAAUGCUUAGAUAUCACGAAGAACUCCGAUUGCGAAGGCAGUUCACUGGACUGCAACUGACACUGAGGCUCGAAAGUGUGGGUAUCAAACAGGAUUAGAUACCCCUGUAGUC